Non-coding RNA from Zootoca vivipara (common lizard), 1268 nucleotides. The record is from RefSeq and is a predicted model, not a curated record. NCBI's taxonomy places the organism in Eukaryota, Metazoa, Chordata, Lepidosauria, Squamata, Lacertidae.
GCUUUUGAUUUAUUGCCUAUUGGGGAGGGGAGAGAGAGGGGUGAUGACUCAAGCCCUACAUCAGAGGACCACACGCCAGGGGUCCCCGCCUUCAAACAAGGAGCACAGAGCAGAGGGGGCCGCGGCAGGGACUGUCCAAACCCCCAGCCACCCGAGAGGAUAACAAACACAAUGCCCAAAGAUUUUUCCUUUCCUCAUCACACAGACAGCAGACCCGAGCACCAGGCAGGGUGACUCUGCCUGCCUAGGCCUUCUCAAGGUGAAGCCGAGGAAAUGGGGUUGCGCCCCAGCAGAGCUCGGAGGCCUAGGGCCAAGCCCCAGCAUGCCCGCCAAACUCUCACAACUGAUGCGAGAAAAGGACCUCUUGAUGGCCGCAAAGCAGUUGACCCAACCAUCCACAAAACAAUCCAUCAAUCAUUCAUGCAGUACUAAAAACACAGGUGAAAACAAAGAAAGAGAGGCGACAGAGAGGGAAGUGGCUAGGGACACUUGUGACCAUGAGGCUGAGGUUCAUCUUCAGUCGUGUCAUCUUCAUCAUAUGAGUUAAUGUGGUGGUAACGAUCAGAGCGAGCUGGAAAGAGGGAAACUAUCUCAUGGAAGCUGCGGGAGACCUAGGCAGCAGGAUUGCUAUUGAGCUGCCCACAUUCCCUCUAAGCCUGGCCCCAAAUGGCUACAGAAAGAGAAAUAUCACAGGGGCAGCGCCAUUCCUGCACCCAAGUGAAACAUCUCGUCAUGAACAGGAAGGAAGCUUGGAAAAACAGAAGCAAAGCCCCACCAGGACAAGCAGCCUCUCCCUCUGAAUCCCCCCCCACCCCAAAGAUGAGCAGCAUCCCCAUGGCUGGGGAAACCCAGCCGGAUGGGCGGGAAGCCCGUUCCAGUCAAGAUCUUUGAAAAAUGCAUGCUGUUUCACUUCGUAGGCGCCACCUGCAAAAACGCAAAGACCGAGGUCUUGCUGCCCUCUGCUGGACAACACCACCAAUCCAACUGGACAUGGUAAGAGGUGAGCUCUUUCCUAGAAACAUGUGAUUCUGCUGCUAGGUGGUGGUGGGUGGUGGGGCAACAUCCUGAGCACUUAGGGAAUGUUGACACAGACCCGCCAAGGCCACAGCUGGUCAACAGUUUGGUGUCCCAGGUGGCGACACCCCGGAAGAGGAUCUAGAGAUCUGGGGGCAGGACUAUCCCUCCCCUCCUUCUGGAUUGGAUCACACUGAAGCCCCACCUAACUAGCUGCCCUGCACCCUGACCAACUGUCCUUACCUGCCCCCAGG